AUUCAAAUGAGAACUUUGAA
RNAcentral lists this non-coding RNA (20 nucleotides) under Arabidopsis thaliana (thale cress). The record is from RNAcentral. RNAcentral also lists the same sequence under 1 other name. Lineage: Eukaryota; Viridiplantae; Streptophyta; Magnoliopsida; Brassicales; Brassicaceae.